Molecule: long non-coding RNA, 1307 nt
Organism: Gadus morhua (Atlantic cod)
Lineage: Eukaryota; Metazoa; Chordata; Actinopteri; Gadiformes; Gadidae
Exons: 3
Source: RefSeq, a predicted model, not a curated record
UUAUGUGAUCCGCACUGAAGCUUCUGGUGGCUCAGGAAACACUCGCCAGCUGAUAUAUGUGCCUGUGCUUCCACGGCAGGGCAUAAGCUAACAAAUGUGUGGGGUCAAUUGGUUUCCUAAGGGCACUCUUCUCAGGAGCUGGCUCACCAAGUCGCGCCCCCGCCUGCUGCUGCUGAUCGCUGGACUGAAGCGGCCUCAGGUGACCCUGAUGCGGAGGAAAAGGAUGAAGAGAACAAAAGUAGCCAAGGCCACGUAAGCGAACCUGCAGCCGCAUGGCCCAUUUCACCUGAGGCUUCAGGAGAAGGUAUCCUCCUGGGGGACUCCAGAUGUUCUUCAUGGACCCCUGGCAGCCAGGAGCCAGGAGCCCGACUCACUGGACGAAAUCUCUGCUCUUGUUCUCACUGGACUCUAGUUAGUGUGGCCUGUGCAUCAUCCCAGCAUAUACCAUCUUUGGUUGACCUAAGAUGUUUGUUUUAUACCACCUUCCCCAAGCAGAAUGCCGACACACUGUGUCAAUGCUGAUAAAAGGCCACCAAUGGAAACCCCACUUCUAAAACAGUUCUAAUCUAUGAAAACCGUUUGAUUGAUCAAAUCUGACACAAGCUAAGAUGUUGCUGAGAAGAGUGGACAUUUUGACGAAAACAUCCUUGGUACUAUGUUGAACAGCAUGCUAAAUCUUAUUCUAAAUGAGGCACUUGGUUGAAAAGUGUGACGUAAAAAAUAUUUGAGAUAUUUACCUAUAAUAAGAGCAAUCUUUCGAGAGACAGAAUACAUAACUCUUCUGUCGUAACACGUUGACAUGCUCUUCAUUGAGCAGUCACACUAUAGCUAAUCUGCUUCAAUGGCAUCUCAAAGGACUGAAAAGGUAUCCAGUCUCCUGAUAGCACAUCAAGCAAUCUUAAUACAGAGGGCCUUUAACUUAAGGAAACUGAUAUUUGAAGAUUUAAACAUGGUCCACUGAUGCUGUACAGAAUAUUUAGUGUAGAGAAACAUGGUGUGUGUCUGGCUGUGUAACCUGAUGUAUUGAUACGAGUACUGUCCUUAUUUCCUCUGUCUUCUAUAGCAAAACCUGUGUGGUCAGAUGAGCUCCGCACCAAUGUGAUCAAGUCACAGGAUGUCUCCCAGCAAUGAAAGGACCCUUUCUUGAAGUGUAGCAUCGAUAGGGUUAGGGAUGAUAUAUGGUACCAGACCCAUAAAUAGGGUUAGGGAUAGGCUUACCCUUUAAUCAUUUCCACUGUGAAGUAAACUGGAUGUCUAGUGAUUAAUUUGCUGUGUCUGAAACUUUAAACAUUAAAACUUUGAUUGUG